Molecule: RNA transcript, 3666 nt
Organism: Sesamum indicum (sesame)
Lineage: Eukaryota; Viridiplantae; Streptophyta; Magnoliopsida; Lamiales; Pedaliaceae
Gene name: RAF-like serine/threonine-protein kinase 20
Source: RefSeq, a predicted model, not a curated record
UGAAUUAAGUUUCUGUGGAUUAUGAUUAGACAUCAUUAAUUUGAACAAAAAAUUGUGAUAUAUUCCAUAGUAAAAAAUUAACUUACCUUCUGAAGUAGUCAUGAAGAAGCUUGGACAACCCCAGAUGCCGUCUUUAGUAGCAGAGUUGUCUUCACCCAAAACACACGGUGUUCAUCUUCUUGGAUCUGGUAGUAGUAUGGGGACACCUUCUUCCUGUGUUUUAAACGAGAAGACGCUGAAAGUGUCAGAAUCAUCGUUUGACGAUGGGGCGUCGUCGUCGUUGCUCUGAGUAUAAGUGCCAUCUUUUCCCGGUUGCAGACAUCCAAUAUACAGAAUAACUUCUUCGUGGUCAUGAUCAGUAGGGUGUAAGCGGGUUGGAGAAGUUGAAGAAUCCAUGCAUGCAAGAAUCAAGAAAGAAAGAUGAUGAAAAGAGUGAGAGCAGGAAGAGUAUAAUUUGGAAAAUUGUGGGGUGUUGGACUAUUGGUAGUUACGGUAUGGUCUUAUAUAGAAAAUGUUGGUAGUAACGAUGUGGUCUUAUAUAGAUUCUGUUGGUAGUUACAAUUGGAAUUCUAUUCCAAUUACCAUCCGUUGGUAGUUACCAAUUGGUCAAAUUGAUUUUUAUAUCUAUAGUUCUAAUGUAGUAGGAAGUAAUAUUUAGUGGGAAUUGAUGUAAAAGAACAGAACACGAAAUAUGCGGUUGCUGAUCGUAUUUCUGAAGAAGGCAGCAAGCUUGCUGACAACAUUCUGAUGACGAAGAAACGACACCUGCUUGAAUUGGCAUGAGCCUGAUGAAUUGACCCGUUCCUCGUAGCCGGCUGUAGAGUGACUCCAACUACGUCUUUGGAAAGCGAAUUUCAUACCUCCCUCUGUAAAUGACGAAAGGAGUGGCGACAGAGGAUCAUCCACCUCUUUUAGAUCUUUCACCGCAUCCAGCUUAUAUGGAGUUGAUUCAUCUUCCAAUGCCCGAAGAGAAGGAAGGUGGUAGUCUUGAAGAAUGACCCAGAGAUUUUCUUAAGUGAUAGCACCUGCUUAAGUAAGAGGGUCUUCGUGCACUUGAGCUUCUGUUCAAGGUGCAAACGCUCUUUGCGGGUCUCCUUCGUUCUUGUGAUGGCACCGCUGGUAACCGAACUCUUUCGCGAAAGGGAUGGAGCCUAGGGCUGAGUCUAGCUGUAGCGAUUAAAGCAGAAGGCGGAUGCGAUGCGCGUGAACUCUAGAUGGCUAGGCACUCUAAAUGGUUAAUGGAUAAAAGUUGAAAUUCAAUAGAAAGGAGAUAAAGCGCACUUUUAUUACAGAACGUUUCUGUAACAACGUUUCAUACAGGCACAAAGCGCGCUCACGACUCUUUUAGUAAGUAGUGCACUUAUGAGAGAAAGCAUAAGUUGUAUUAAUUGUUUUAAGCGUGUACGACUUUCUCUUUUCUUUAGUGGGAUAAUUAGUUAUCCGUUAGAAAGGAUCUGUAUACAUACUUCACUGUUCAUCAUCUUCAACACAGAGAAAUAAGGGAUUCUUGUACUGCAGUUUUUCUUCUUGAGUCCAGUAUGACACCGACGUCACGACGUGGACGCCGGUGGGGCGGCUGUUCCAAGUAGAAUACGCGAUGGAGGUGGUGAAGCAGGGCUCGGCGGCGAUAGGGCUGAGUUGGAAGACUCAUUUGGUGCUCACCAGCGUUAACAAGGCGAGCUCUAAGCUCUCCUCGCACCAGAAGAAGAUCUUCAAGGUCGACGACCACUUCGGUGUGGCCAUUGCCGGACUGACGGCCGAUGGACGACAAGUCUCAGAGGUCAGGUGGUGAUCUUCAGUCGUGGUGGCUAAUGGUGGCUAAUGAGCACUCUGUAGCAUACAGUGCUAGCACAAAAGUUAGUUUUCCUGUUGAAGAGUCAUUGACAAUGGGCCAUAAACUGGAGAAAAAAUUCUCGUCAAAGAGUGAAGGCAGGCCCCAGGAACCUAAACCUCUUGAUGCCGUUAGUCCAUCCCAACUUCCUAAAUCCAGUGGCAAUGAGUACUUUAUCUCUGACCAUUGAGUUUUGGAGGGAAGCUGAAAUGCUCUCAAAGCUUCACGACCCGAACGUGGUAGCAUUUUAUGGUGUUGUACAAGACGGACCAGGGGGGACAUUGGCUACCGUGACGGAAUACAUGGUUGAUGGAUCUUUAAGACAUGUUUUACUUGGUACUGUGUUUUACAGAGAGGUUGUGGAAUUUUGUUUGACUAACACCUCGAUCACCGGAAGCGGCUCAGAAUUGCCAUGGAUGCAGCUUUUGGGAUGGAAUAUUUGCAUUCAAAGAAUAUAGUCCACUUUGAUCUAAAAUGUGACAAUUUGCUAGUUAACUUGAAAGAUCCAUCAAGGCCUAUCUGCAAGGUAGGUGACUUUGGUCUAUCAAAAAUAAAGCGCAACACCCUGGUUUCUGGUGGAGUUAGGGGAACUCUGCCAUGGAUGGCUCCAGAGCUGCUGAAUGGCAGUAGCAAUAAAGUUUCUGAAAACGUCAGAUCCACAACAUGCAAGUGUAUCUCCAGAAAAUUUGAAUUUAUCCAGAAUCUGAAAAUUGAUAUUAAUUGUUAGCAGAUUCUAGAUCCUUUCAGAUACUUUCCGUCAUUUCUACGUAUUCAAUGGUAUACCUUGGUUUGAGUAAAUAUUUCUUUCCAGAAAAUGAAUGGGAGUAUUAUAGUCAAGUGUUCUUUUGGCGUAUUAACCUGCUAACAGCAACCUCCUCUCUCCUAAAAUUCUGAAUAAAAGUAGAAGAAAAUAAUAUUGCACAUUGUCAGUUGAAUACAUCUGUACUACUUCGUUUGUUGUACAGGUUGAAGCAUCUUAUAUUUCUAUGUGACAAAAAUAAGGAGUUUUGGUUGUUCACCUGGCAGGUUGAUGUCUUUACAUUUGGUAUUGUCCUGUGGGAGAUACUCACUUGGGAGGAGCCUUACGCCAACAUGCAUUAUGGUGCAAUCAUAUGUUUGUAACUUAACUGACACAAAGAUUUGGGUUGGUGGUUGUGGUAUGUGAUGAGUGAUGGUCGUUUCCUACUAAACUAACUGGUGUAUGUCUGAAAUAUAGUUUAGCUUGGGAUCUGAAAACUAAUAAUUUCCUGUCAGACAUUAUACUAAUUGAGAUCAAAUAACUCCUGUAACAUGAUGUCAGGCCUUACGAGAAGUUUUGCAUCAAAAGCAUAUGCUGGUAAAUGAGUGAUCUAUUUUGUGAGUCUUUUUAUAUGACCAAACUAUAGAAUCUACAGAGAUGAAUUCAAGGCCAGGCAAUCUUUGUUUGGUGUAAGCUUCCAAUUAAUGAAGCCUUCACAGUUCAGAAGCUUACACUUAUUUCAAUGAGGCAUUGUGAACAACACAUUGAGACCAACCAUUCCAAGCUACUACGACACAGAAUGGAGGAGAUUAAUGGAGCAGUGUUGGGCCCCAAAUCCUGCUAUGGGGCUAUGUUUUACAGAAAUUGCUAGACGAUUGCGCGUAAUGUCUUCCUCGGCCCAGACACGGAAGGCGAGUUGAUAGAUAAUCAAAAGAUGGUUUGAUGUAUUCUUUACUAAUUAAAGCAAUUAGUUCAUUUAAUUCUAGAGAGUAGGGAUAUUACGUCAUUACUCAAUGAAACAAAUGGCUUGAAAAUUGGCAAUACAUUUGUCAUGCUCAUCAUCAUCGUCAUAUAUAAAUGUGAAGUUCUUUGAACA